Long non-coding RNA from Xiphophorus hellerii (green swordtail), 707 nucleotides. RefSeq lists it as uncharacterized. The transcript has 3 exons. Lineage: Eukaryota; Metazoa; Chordata; Actinopteri; Cyprinodontiformes; Poeciliidae. The record is from RefSeq and is a predicted model, not a curated record.
CCUGAUGAGGACCGUGUGAGAGAACAUGAAAUCUUGUGGAAACAUGAAACCUCGAGCGAAGCUCAAGGUUUGGUAACUGUAACUGUAGUUACCAUUUCCUGCUGGAAACUACAGUAACUACAGUGGAGCGGUAACCAAACGGUUCAGACAUCUGCAAUUCAUUCCCGUAGUGACAUUUAUUAAUACAUUCACAAACGCACAUUGAAGCAAUAUGACGGAGUUGCAUUAGAACGAAUUGCAGUGGUGUACAUACUUCUGCCAAUUCGCUAGUGCGCUAAUAUUGGAGCUAAUUUUUUGUUUAGCGCUUUGGCAUUUUUUUUCUAGCAAUGAAAACGUUUGGCACACCCGGCUUCCCCUAAAUUCAUUUUUCCAGAUUAAUUCUAAAGCACCAAUUUACUUGCCAGUUAAAGUUCUACGUCUGUAUUGAAGUUUUUGUUAUCGACUUUAAAGAAUUCUUCAAGUAGACGUCUCCGUUCAUGCUCUUAUUUUGAAGUGUGCAGGCUGUUUAUGCAGCUUCCUGUCCUCGUGUUCUCCCUUGUUUCACUUCAAUAACGUUUCAUAGAAACGUACAGGAACAACAUAAAACACAGACAGCUGAACAAGUUGGAAGCAUAAAUACAGCAUCUAUGGGUCUCAUAUAACGUGAAUUAUGUCAAAAUGAAAUCGGCGACAGCGUUGGAGUCUUUCACGGGCAGGUGUAGUUUGCG